AAGUUGACUUCCUCUAUGUUUUCUACUGAAAAGGCACGUCUGGCUGGAACAUCUGAAGUCCCUUGUGGGCUUGUGUCCCUCCUGAUGUAUUUUUUUCGUUGACACUAUGUUGUUCCUUCUCUUGUGCCCUUUUGGUCGUCUGAGCUAUUUCAUCUUUUAAUAUGAUGAUCUCUAUGUUUCACAGCUUGAUAUCAUUGUGCUCAAUCUCUAACCCCGUCCUUUUGUUUGCAGACCUGAUACACUUGAUCCAGCUUUAUUACGUCCGGGACGAUUGGAUCGCAAAGUUGAAUUUGGUCUGCCUGAUCUGGAGAGUAGGACACAGAUAUUUAAGAUCCAUACGCGCACAAUGAACUGUGAGCGGGAUAUUCGGUUCGAACUGUUGGCCCGUCUCUGUCCCAACUCUACAGCAUAAAGACAUAAGGUAAGUAAUUAUUUUUCUCUUUCAAAUUCUUGAAAUUCUACGAUUUGAUUUCAUAUACAAACAAAGACAACAAAGUUUGAUUAUAUGAACUGUUGGCCCGUCUCUGUCCUAACUCUACGGGUAAUGUCUCAUACAUAUGAGUAGUAUGUUCGACUUCUUGUUUAUACAAUAAUGCAGCUGACAUUUUGAUGAUGGGCCUUAACUGUGUCUCUGAUUUAACGUCUGCCUCUCUUAUUUUGCUAGCAUAAAGACUGUUCUAUUAUAGCGGCUGUUUGUGCUAUAUCAUACUAUUGUCAUACUAGCUUCAUCACCUAUUCAAGUGCCAACUUCCUAUUUUAGGUUUGUCAGAAAAUUUACAGGAUUAACCAUUAGAAGUUUAAAGAAAUCAAAUUCUCCUAAUAAUCUACUUAAAUCAGGUCGGAUAUUUCUUCCCUUUUUUUUCCAAGGUUGGAUAUUUUCUUUAUUAGACCUAGUUAUUUACUAGUAUAUUAAUGUUCUUUUUUACCUCCACUAUUAUGAUGUGUAAUGAACUUCAAUUUUUUUUUAACUCUAUAAUAUAAAUUUGGUCCUAUAACUUUUCUAAUUCUCAAUCCUAGUCUUCUGUCAUUCUGUGACAUGGUUACCGUCUUUCUUGAUAACUGAUUCUGAUCUCUCUAUUUGUUCUAUGGCAAUUAACUAUAAUUAACAAUAGUUAAUUGCCAUAUUGGGAGUUUGAAGGGCUUUAAUGUUGUGGGAGAACUUAGAUUAAUUGCCAUGUAGGCACAAUGUGGGAUGCAUAUCAGCAGCAAUCACAUUGCAGAUAACAUACAUCCCCCUGUGCUACUGAUGCACUACUUAAAACUGAAGUUGAGGUUGCAGCAUCAAAGGGGAAAUGUGUGGUAGUGUCAGUGAUUUAUUGGUUGAAUACAGAGUAUUUGAAGCAGAAGGGUAAUUUUGUCCGACAAAAAGCAUCAUUACUAACUUUAUGGCUCUAUAAUUCUAGGAUUAUGACAGAACGACAAAUGGAGGUCUGGAUAUCAAUUUUAAUGGAAUUUCAAAAGCAAGAGGGAUCUUUGAUGCCCCACUUGCGGGAUUACAUUCGAUUUUUUGUUGUUGUAAGAGGGAUUGUUGAUAACUUAGAGA
Molecule: long non-coding RNA, 1543 nt
Filed under: Nicotiana benthamiana
Lineage: Eukaryota; Viridiplantae; Streptophyta; Magnoliopsida; Solanales; Solanaceae
Description: long non-coding RNA (NBEN_LNC041667)
Source: RNAcentral